RNAcentral lists this long non-coding RNA (6428 nucleotides) under Sus scrofa (pig). RNAcentral's name for it is "lncRNA (ENSSSCG00000058929.1)". Lineage: Eukaryota; Metazoa; Chordata; Mammalia; Artiodactyla; Suidae. The record is from RNAcentral.
AUCCUUAGAAUCCUGCCUGCCACAUUAACGAAGUUGCCUGAAUUUGCCCAGUGAGAGAGCUGGGAGGCAGGAGUUUGGAACUCAGUCUGUCUUGCAUGAAAGGCUCUGCCUUUUCCAUCUGCCAGGCUGCCCCUCUACAGAAAUGAGGGGUGGGAAAUAUCCAAAGAGAAUGUCCUAGAGGGCAAGCACCAUCCCAACUCCUAACCUAGAGGCAUAUCAUUUAAAUAACUCUUAUAUUUAAAAUUGUGGAUUCAAUGUUUUAAAAUUGCGCAUCAAAAUAAUACUGGCUCCUUCCAAAAUGCCGCCACCAGAGAGAUGGUAUGCGUGUGGGCUACAUAGAAAGAUCUGGAUAAAUUCCAAGAGCUACCGCUUACUCAGAAAUCCUAAGCUUCAGUUUCUGCCCUGUAAAAUAGGAGCAAUAAUAGUAUCUUACAGUUGCAUGGAGAGGCUGAAACACUGACACUUCCGUAAUGUUUAUCACAGUUCCUGGGACACUGUAAGCAUUCAGUUGCUAAUAACCACCCUCACUGUCAUCACUGUCAUCAUCAUUACGUUGUCAUCAUCUGCAGCCAUCAGCCCAGAUGGCAACUAUGUACUAAACGUAUUAUGAAAUAUUUACAGUUUCAUAUCAGUAACAUAGAAAAUCAAUCAUGCUUGUUUAUCAUAUGAGCAGGAAAUGUUAUUAUGUCUAUAAUCUCCUUUUUAGCUUGUAUUUGCCUCUGAAAUCUCAACUUCAGAUUAGUCAAUGCAAUUUUUUGGUCUCUUGGAGACUCAGAAAAGCGGAGGAUGUGCUUUCUCUGCUUUUUCGAUAAUCGAGAGUUUGUCCACUUGGUUCUGAUUCUGCCGGUAACUUAAAUGGAUAGAAAUUUCCUCUCAUAGCUCAUGAGGCUUAGUGUCACUUUCAGAGCCCUCCUCUCACCUUGCCCUUCUCCUUUCCUUUGUUGAUCUAAGACCCACUAUUGGAAGGUCUCUGACACAUGGUUCAUUUUACUUUUGCUCCAGACUGGAGCUUGGUGUAAACAAGAAACUUAUUUUUAGUUUUUUGCUCUGCAUUUUCUUCAGAGCUUUCUUUUCUGCAUUUUCACCACAUUCCUAAGCUUCUGUUAAGCCAACUUUUUCAGUGUGAGAAAAAUAAAUGUCACAGAACGAAGACGUUGUGGCACCCAACAGAAGUGCCAGUUGAGUCCUCUGUGGGAGGGAGCUUGAGACCCUGGGUGUUUUAAGCAGAAAUUUGAAUGAAGGCGUAUGAAGACGAAGAUAGCAGGAGGAACCCCAAGACCGUUUGUAAGCAACGUAUGCUAAAGAAAAUGUGGGGCUCCCCAGACCUCAGUUAGGAUGGAGGGUGUGGUUGGGAGAGGCCACCACGGGGCAGCCACCAUCGUCCCAACUGCUGGAGAAAUCAGCAAUGGCAUGAUUUGCUCCGUGCUACAAACAUGUCACAGUUGGCGCCAGAGUCAGAACUUUGAUUCUGAUCACCUUGUGCAGAUGCCAUGUGUCAUUAAAACGCAAGAAGAGAGGAGUUUCUAAUUUGCAUUUUUUUUUGAAAUCCUCCUGCUCUUGCUGCUUUCUUUCAACACCUCAGCUAGCCACCUGGGACCUCCUUUAAAAAGGUCACACGCCUCUUUGGCUUUACCUGUGUUAACCUUUUAGCUUCCUCGUUGUCUAAAAGAGUGUUUCUCAACUGCGGUGCUCUUGCCAUUUGGGGUAGUUACUUGCUGCUCCUUCAGCACAAACUCUACCUGAAGGCUGAUUACUGGGAGCUCCUGAAGCUCUGCUGCAGAUGGCUUCUUUUUUUUUUUCCUCCUGAGAAUGGAAAGUUCUGUGGAGUUAAUGGCUAUGAAACCAUCCCUCAGCCAGUGAGGGCUGGGGCGUUGGGAAGUGGCUCCAGCUUCCUAGGCCCCCAAACAGGACCAUUCUGCCUCCCAGCAUGCCCCAGUGUCCGCAGAAGCAACUGGUUUGAUCACAUACCUCUGCUGAUUUCUUGCCCUGCUCUGACUCACCUCCCAAAUACACUGUUUACACUCGGAUCUGAGUCUGAGGGUCCACUUGCAGGGGAACCCAAACCAAGACGCUGUGUUCCAAACAUGGCAAUUCAAUAUGUUUGGGGAACUCUUGAGCUAAUUCGCCGAGAUUUGCCCAAGCAAUGCUGCGGAUCGCUGUUGUCACCAAGUGCUCCGAGGCCUGCGUGCUGGGUGGGCCAGACUGCGCGGGCACGGGUGUGCACCCAUGUGUGAUGUGUGUGUCUGUGAUGAUGCGGACAUUGUUGUUUCUCGCGGAUUUGUUCUGAGGAAGGCUUUUGGGAAUUGUGUUUUCCCACAAGUUCCACAAAUGUUUCCACAUUUUAGAAAUUGUUUGAGCAUGCUCUAAGCCAUGACUUUGAAAGUCAAACAGUUUGGCUGGUGAUAUUAUUUUUAAAGAAACAAAAACAGUUUUGUUUUGUUUUAAAUUUUGGCUUUUGUUAUGCUCUGCAAUCUUUUUCUGCUCAAAAGGCCGUAACUUCCUUUGUUUAGUGCAGGGCUUUGCAGAGGGCUCAUGGAGGUAUUUCAUAGACAUUUUUUGUAUGGCGGUGAUUGCAAUGAAUUUUUACUGCUAAUAAUUUACAUUCUAAAGCUCUUAUCCAUAUACUAUUUCACUUAAUCCGCCCACGAAGCCUGAAUAAUAGGAUUAAAAUCACAGUUUAAUGAAAGAGGAAACCAAGUUCCAAAGAGUUGAAGCAAGUUUCUCUUUAGCACCUUAUCUAGUUCUGAAUUAACAUAAAACUUUCAUUAAUGUGAUCAGCAGUCUGCAAAGACACAAAGGGGGAAAAUGUAAUCUUAAGGGAAGCAUGACACACGUUGGGAACGCUGUAAGAUUUGGGGAGCUUGGAGAUGAAAGGACAUAGACCUCAGCAAUGACCCUAGAUCUUGUCUUCCUUUAUAUUUUUAAUUGGCUCUAGUCUCAUGUAGCCAAUGAGAAGCACCGGAGGGAGAAGCAAGCACUGUUUGCCAGCCUGCUUUGAUAUAAUUGAUGCUAGUGAGUCAGAGACCAAAGCAACACUUUCCCAGGUGCUUUUCUCAUCUCCUCGACAUCUCCUUCAUUAUUGCCUUCAGUCUCCAGUGGCUUCUCAGCACCGUUAAAGCUAUAGGCCAUCUUUUCUGCAUCACCAGCCAGGAGGGCACAGCAGGCACCCCCGUAUUGGUUUAUACGCUCUCUUGCUUGCACUAAAUUUGUACCUGGAGUGAAGAGGAAGUGCAUCACUCUUUCAAAUAUCAACAUUGGAUUUUGAGGUCGGGUCCAAAGCUAGCAGAGUCUGUUCCUUCCAGUAAUUCGACUCUUGCCGCUGAUAUCCAGCUCUGAAUCAGAGUCCCCACUGGCUAUUGUUAUCCCCAAUGUUGAGCUUAAUCUUAUUUCUCGGACCUUUGCCUGUUACCCACUGUUGGUACCCAAGUUACUCCUAUGGAACUCACUUAACUCACUCUGGCCCUUCCCCAACAGUGAACCCCACUUAUGACUAAUCCAUUCUGCACUAACCAGGGUUCAGCUGGGAAAACAGAAAACGCUUAGAUAUUUUUUUAAAGAAAUGGAUUUAAUACAGGAGUUAGAGGCUUACUAAAACAUGGAAAAGGACUGGACCUAGCAUUCUAGAAAUUAGGAAGAUAGUCACAUUAAAGAAAGAACCCCUGGUGAUCUCAGCUACCUGCUGUACCUCGAAGCACCUGGCAGCACCUCUGUUUGGCAUCUACCAAAGCCCACGUGCCUGCUUGCCGCUACCCUAGUGGGCUUUGGCUUCUAUUCUGCCUCGUGAGUGUGUUUCCUUUGUGUGACCUCACUGUGAACUGUCAUGGUGGGGGGGUGGUCUGGAAAAUGUAGCUCCCAGACUUCUAGCCCCUGGGGUACAGGGAACAGCAUAAAAGAAGAAACGUUGUACUGAGUAGCUGACUGAUAGUUCAAGCCACAUCCUGCCUCUGGGAAUUUUCGGAAGCUGAUUUGUGAGCCUGGGGCAUUCAAAGAAGAGGCUGUUACUUCUCUAAAAUCAAAGGUAUUACGGGGAAACUAUUUAUGAUCUGGGACAGGCCAACAGAAAAAAGGGAGAAGCAGCAACUGGAGAUGUGGUGGCCAUCACAAUUGAAGAGUCCGUAGCAGUUGUAAUAGUUGAUGAUGUGAAAUAGGGAGAUGCUCAUGCUUCAAGCAGAGCUACCGGGAAAAUUGGGCAACUUUGUACCCGUGUCCUUACUAUGCAUGGUAUAGUUGUAAUGCGCAAUUUCCUUACUUUCUGGUAAAAUCGCUUAUGCAAUUUAAUCGACUGGCUGGGUGUCUCUUCUACUCUUUUAUUCUGAGGUCAGAGCCUUGGAUCAGUCUGCUCCUCCAGAGACAGGCUUUGGAGAAAUUCUCCAGGAGGCAGUGGGAAUUGGCCAUUGGGAAUUGGUCAUUUCCGGACACCUGCUCCAUCCAACCAAUCCUACAGGCCAUGACACCUGGCCAGGAGGGAUAGAACCACUGUUUUUAGUGGUAUAUUCUACUUGUCAUCUGAUUCACAGCAUUUGCUUCCAGAAGCUGUGCUUUUUGGCCUAGGUACAAGACUCCAAGGCUGAAGCAUCCAUGAAAUUGACCUAAUGUUGUUUAAAAAUGUUGCUGCAUGGUAUAAGUGCCAACAGUCGGACUUAUUCCUCAUAGUACGCUGGUAGUCGGUUUUCUGUUCCUCACAAUGUAAAGUAGUCUUUGUACCUUCACGAUUAGGUUUUUGUGAAGGAGUUUUACUCUAUUUAGAUUAAUUAAUAAAAAGCAUCGAACUAUGAUGUGUUUGUUUUUUUCUGGAGAACACACUAAAAGCCAGAACUCUGUAAAAACAAAUUGUUCUUUUGGAAAACCAAAUAAAAGGUACUGUACCUAAGCAUCUAGGGACUCUUGAUUUAAUCCAACUAAACAUUAACUUCAGAUGUUGUUAAUGCCUUGAUACCUAAUACUUCUCUAUUUUAAUAGCACAUUUGUACUUGAAUUAUAAUCACUGUUAUUCUGAAGAUUUUAAACACUCCUGAUUGAGAAGUACUUCACAGAUAUCUAUCUAUCUAUCUAUCUAUCUAUCUAUCUAUCUAUCUAUAUAUAAUAUUGAAAUUUUGUUUCGUUGAUAAGGAUUAGAAAGCAAACCAAAAGGCAUACAACUUAAUAAUGAAAGUAUUACAACUUAAGAUACAGGUCAUUAACUUGGAAGCUGUAUUUUUUCCUCUCUCUAUAUACUGAAGAUGUCCCUUCGUGUUUUCUUGUCUCUCCUUUCUAUCUUUCAUUUUAUGUAUUUUUUUCUUGGAGUAAAAGCACCUUUUAUGCAUCAUAUGAUUUUUUUUCAUUGACAAUGAUAGGAAAGCAUGUAAGCAAAGUUUUUGUUAAGAGAGUAGGUUUGGGGGCUGCACCUGACUCUUUGUGACCUUUAAAACGUGAUGUCUUCAACCUUUAGACUAAUAUAAAGAUGAUAAGUGAAAACUCAGAAUGCCUAGAGACAUGUUAUGGAAAAGGAGGCCUGCAAGAAAUAAUUCCAAGCUAAUCAACAAUAACUUACCAAAGGAUAUUAUCUUUUAGUUGUAGGAGAAACCGAGAAUACCAAAUUUGUUCCAGAAUUUCACUUCACCUUGACCUAAUGUGUAAACGUAGAUGUGAAUUUCGGCCAAUUCCUUCUGGACUUAAGUUGUGAUGUGAAAUUAGAGAUUGGUAGUUGUAAUCAAGUUGCUAAUUAUUACAAAUUAGGAAUACGUGCAAAGUAUGUUUUCAGUCUUUGUAUAAGUGCAUUAUUGUUCUGGCUCAUGGGAGUUUCUCUCUGGUUAACAGUGGGGCUGUAUUUAUUUGUGUGUGCAAGCAUGUAGGAAAGGGGAGAACCGCUUAGCCUUCUUUGAUAAUGUGCUUCUGAUUAUAUACAUCUUGAGGGAUUUCAUAAAACUGAAAAUCGGCUGGGAAGCACAAUAUUACUCGAUUUUUUUCAAGGCACAUUUCUGCAACGCCUGCUCUAUUACCCACGUUAUUUGUAUACCUGAACAUCUUUAUUAUUGUUAAAUGGGGCUCCCUUGUGAUAUUUUUUUAAAUACGUGGAUAUUCCAACUCUUGGCUCACUUAUUUACAGUUGGUAACUAAUUUCUUCAAGGAAUUUUAAUAUGGAAACUCCUUCAAAAAUAUACUCUUUUCAUAUCCUUUUUGUUUUCUUAGGAGUUUCUAAUGGAAGAGUAUUUCGUUCUCUCUUCCUUCUCUCUUUUCAGCUCAGUCUCUUAAAAAUGAUGUUCAUAUUUGCUCAUAAGGGUCCAUUUAUCCCAGGUGCUCAAUGAUCAUUAUGUUGUGAUUUUUACUUGUUGUGGCUUUUCUCACCAAAGCAGAAAUCAGUCAGUUCCAUACACAUGGCAUAUAAAUUUCACAAUUAGGCAAUUAAAUUAGAAAUGUGACAGUUGGCGUAUGUUCAAAGUAAUAAAGUU